This is a long non-coding RNA of Papaver somniferum (opium poppy), 667 nucleotides long. RefSeq lists it as uncharacterized. The transcript is spliced from 6 exons. NCBI's taxonomy places the organism in Eukaryota, Viridiplantae, Streptophyta, Magnoliopsida, Ranunculales, Papaveraceae. The record is from RefSeq and is a predicted model, not a curated record.
CUCUUUCUAUUUCCAUCCCUCCCUUUAUGUUCUCCGCCGCCAUUGAAAAGACCACCAUCACUCCAAAAUGUCAUGAUCAUCAGAAGAAAGAAGAAGAUCGCAUAAUAUUUAUCCCCUCAAAAUAAAUAAGGUCGACAAUGGCAGAGAUGAGAUGAACGAGUGAGUCGGUGGUUUUCCUUGACUCAUAUCAAUUCCCUCGUCAAGAGUUUGAGUUGAAAAAAGCGAAUCAAAGAGCAGAAACUUUGCCCUAAUUUCUCUCCGUUGAUGUCAAAUCCUAGAGGGGUUUAUGCAAUAUGAGUAUGUGAUGAAGUGUGACUAUGUCUAUUAUGUUGCCUUGAUAUUUGAAGAAAAACCACCACUGAUCAUGAGCUCUGAUGUUGUUGACGUCAACAUCAACAAGAAGAUAUCACACAAUGAUUUCUUCUCUCCAACAAAUAGAGGGGGAAAUGAACAAUUUGCGGCCAUGGAACCUACUCAAUGCAUCAUCAUUGGUUAACCAUGCAGCGGCCAUGGAACCUCUCCUUCUUUCUUGAUGAGGGGACAGUUCAAAUGCUUACUCUAGUGCUGCUGUCUUGAACAAUCAUGAAAAUCUUUGUAGAUGUUAUAUCUGGACAGACCUAUUUAUGUAUAUUUGUUUAAAAAACACAGCGAAUCCAAAACAUUUAAG